AGCAGCCGCGGUAAUUCCAGCUCCAAUAGCGUAUAUUAAAGUUGUUGCAGUUAAAAAGCUCGUAGUUGAACUUCGGGAUCAAUCAGUUGGUCAUGCCUUGGUAUGUACUGAUUUUAUUGGUUCUCACCUUCUAAAGAACUAUAAUGUCAUUUAUUUGAUGUUAUAGGGAAUUAGGACUGUUACCUUGAAAAAAUUAGAGUGUUUAAAGCAGGCUCACGCUUGAAUACAUUAGCAUGGAAUAAUGAAAUAGGACAUCGCAUUCUAUUUUGUUGGUUUCUAGGAUCGAUGUAAUGAUUAAUAGGGAUAGUUGGGGGCAUUAGUAUUCAAUUGUCAGAGGUGAAAUUCUUGGAUUUAUUGAAGACUAACUACUGCGAAAGCAAUUUGCCAAGGAUGUUUUCAUUAAUCAAGAACGAAAGUUAGGGGAUCGAAGACGAUC
Molecule: ribosomal RNA, 436 nt
Filed under: uncultured Glomus
Lineage: Eukaryota; Fungi; Glomeromycota; Glomeromycetes; Glomerales; Glomeraceae
Description: SSU rRNA
Rfam family: Eukaryotic small subunit ribosomal RNA
Source: RNAcentral